CCUUUCAUUAGCAUACUAGGGUUUCCAACAUUCAGCGUCUUCUCCAAGCUUCCUGUCAUUCUUCUCCAUCCUUCCUCUCUCAAUCUCAAACAUCUGAUAAAAGGUAAAUCGAAUAAGUUCUUUUGUUGAUCCAACAAAAUAACGGAUCAUGAUCACUCUUCAUAUCACCAACUAGGGUUUCACAUAAAUCGCUCUCGCGUUCUUCUCUGCCGACCUAGGGUUUCUCUUCCUCUCUUUUCUCUGAUUCUUUUUCAUGAUUCCCAAAAUUGAGGACUUGCAAAUCGUGAAUGAGAUCUGCCUCUAAACGAAGGGCAUUGGAAUUACAUCAAUAUCAAGGCUAAUAAAACCCUGGGAUUUUAUGGAUUUUGAUCUCAUUUUUUUGCCAUUGUCAAGCAAAACAAAGGUGCAGUGCGAGUUAGGUCUGUGAAAUUUUACUCAUAAAUUUAAGCAUCAAUUUGUUAUUAGAGAAGGCUUGCAUUUUGCUUUAUUUCAUUUAUGGAAACAAGCUUUGUGAUGACAAAGUUCCUGAUCGAAUUCACCGUACAUAUACUAUUUGGUAAUUUCAACCCAUUUUGAUAUGUUAUAUGUCCAGACUAUCACUUCUGAUCUUAGACUAAAUAUAUAUCAAACCGGUUGAAACAAUGUGUUGAGCCAGCGAGAAAGGAAUCAAGGUUUUUCCUUUUAACUAAUUGAUUUUGGGCUUUAUGUGUUCUUCAAGCCAGGUAUUUUAAUAUGUACCUUUUAUCCCAUAUGUUUACAUUUGCUUUUAAACUGAUUAUUGAGACUUUAAGAAUCAUAAAUUGAUAGCUGGGUGUUUAAUUGAACAAAGCAGGUUCGUUUUCUAGACAAAAAUGGAGAAAGAAAGUAGGGUCACUUCGGAAAUGGAAAAGUCAACAUGAAAUUCAUGUUCAACUAUGGACCGUGGUAUGGAUCCAUGGAAAUUCAAAAGUGAAUUGAAUUUUGGAAAUAAAAAAAUAAAGAUGGGAGAGACUAAAGAAAGAGAUAUCAGUUGUAUGAAAAAAAUGAGGUAUGGGUUUGUAUUUAUAAAUAAAAGUGGUGGCGGUUUGGUAUAGGCUGGCACCUAAGAAUCGGUAUCCGGCUGCGUGAAAGUGUUGCAUUAAUGCAUUGGUUGGCGAAACCGGCGAAGUUGGCGGAGUUGGGGAGGAAGGUUGAAUUGCAAUGAUGGCGGAGUUGGGGAGGAAGGUUGAAUUGCAAUGAUGGUAAACCACCUGUGGUUUGAUCAAGAUCAACCUACAGAUGCUCAGUUUUCUACAAAUAACGUUAUUAUCAAACACUAGAAUUCAAAGGCAACAAGUUAAAGAUUCUGUGUGUUUACUUGCAACUCCAGCUGCGCGAGUUGAUAAACAAAUCCUAACAACAGUUCAUUUAAACUAUUGUUAACGAUUCCAAUGGCGUUUUUUUACCAGAUAUACCCAUCGCAAACUCACUAUCAUUUCCCACAUCCGGCGCUUGAUCAACAUUUUUUGGUCUAUUAUAUGCCGACUAGGCAGUCGGCCCAAGGUUAUAACUUACCAUUGCAGGCUGAUGCCUCCUAUGCUGUUUCCGCCCCUCCUAAUCAUCAAGUCCCGCCGCCUUAUGGUUUGAUCACUGCACCGCAGGUUGUCCAAUCCACCACAAACACUGAAGCACCAGCAGGCGUGUAUAGAUCUUAAGAAAUUAUGUUUUUAGAUUUACAUUUCGAGUUUUACAGAUGAUGAUACGAGGAACUCUGCUCUUGCUAAGGAAAUGGCUGCUCAUUCUUAAUGUUUUUGUUAUGGGCGAAGUGGUAAAAAUAUAUCUAUCAAAGGGUAGGAGAAUACCAGUGUGCAUAAAAGCAAAAAUGUCCACUUCUGCCGAAAAAGGGUCUCCUUCGCCACUAAAACAGGUCCAUCCCGAUUGACUAGCGUAGCCCGAGUACAUCACUUCCUAUAGUGGAAUUGUAGGGAAGCGUCAGAUGCAGGUCACAUCUGUUGGUAACAUCUACACCGAAUGAGUUACAUAGGGCUGUUGAUGCUUGCAAGAAUGUCCUAAGAGGCUUGCAUAGUGAAAAGAUGGCAGAUCAUGAAUUGGAUUCGGUUCGUUAUUUUCUUUUAAAGGGCAAAAUGGGUAAAAAGGACGAGUUAAUUAGGAAACACUCAAAUGGGUUGAUUGGGUGAAAGUGGCUCAAACUGUAUUUUGAACACAACCUUCUAAAUCAUGUCUUUCAAAAUUAUUUGAAAUAAUAUACUAUUAGUUUUUGUAACCAUGCUCAACACACUAUUGGAUUGUUGAGGUAUAAGUAUAACUCUGUUUAUUGACAUGCCAAACUAGCUCUGCUGAUGAAACACGAAACAUUAACCAUAUCAAAUGCUGACUAGCUUUGGUUGUAGGCUAUUUGUAGGCUGUUUUUAUUCAUAGGAGGUAACAUUAGACUGAAUUGACAAUUUUAUGAAGUUGUUGAACAGACCAUUGUACCCUUUUCGAGUUGAAUUAGCAUAAUAGUUUAGUUUUUCGUUGUUUUCUUAUUGUUUUUGGCAUGUAUUUUAUAUAAUAUAUUAUGCUUCAAAGAUUUGACAAGCUAUAUGGAGCUGCUACUAUUAAGGAUGUAUACCUGGCAUUUGAAUAAUUGAAAGUUGAUGAUCUAUUAUUUUACUAUUGCAUCUGCAUUGCUGAUGCUUAGGCAUAUGAUGAAAUUUCAGGCUUAAAUAUGGUUGUUUUUAUUCCUUUUAUAGCAAUUUUUGACAAUUUAUGACUAAAUUUUUGA
Molecule: long non-coding RNA, 2743 nt
Filed under: Helianthus annuus (common sunflower)
Lineage: Eukaryota; Viridiplantae; Streptophyta; Magnoliopsida; Asterales; Asteraceae
Source: RNAcentral